UACGAAGGGGGCUAGCGUUGCUCGGAAUCACUGGGCGUAAAGCGCACGUAGGCGGAUUGUUAAGUCGGGGGUGAAAUCCUGGAGCUCAACUCCAGAACUGCCUUCGAUACUGGCGAUCUUGAGUCCGGGAGAGGUGAGUGGAACUCCGAGUGUAGAGGUGAAAUUCGUAGAUAUUCGGAAGAACACCAGUGGCGAAGGCGGCUCACUGGCCCGAUACUGACGCUGAGGCACGAAAGCGUGGGGAGCAAACAGG
This 253-nucleotide ribosomal RNA is filed under the name uncultured bacterium. RNAcentral's name for it is "partial 16S ribosomal RNA". It matches the Rfam family "Bacterial small subunit ribosomal RNA", at positions 524 to 776 of the family's 1533-position model. The record is from RNAcentral.